RNAcentral lists this long non-coding RNA (389 nucleotides) under Limulus polyphemus (Atlantic horseshoe crab). Its description in RNAcentral is "uncharacterized LOC106476598, transcript variant X1". Lineage: Eukaryota; Metazoa; Arthropoda; Merostomata; Xiphosura; Limulidae. The record is from RNAcentral.
CCUACAGGGGAUAGAACUCCGCUCGCUCCGUUCUUAGACAGUAGGAGUAUAAAUAUUAGCUCUAACGUUAUGGGUAGAUUCUGAUUUGUAAUAGAAAGUAUCUUGCCAUUACAAUAGGUUGAUUAAUAAUAAAAAUGAAGCGACACUGGUGGUUUUGCAAAAGAUUCUCUGGAUUGCAAUAUUUAUUUCUAAGAAAAGCAUCUACAACAUCAACUGGUUCAUCAGGAAAUACCUAUUUUAUCACAACUCCAAUAUUUUAUGUAAAUGCCUCUCCACAUAUUGGUCAUCUUCACUCUGCUGUUCUAGCUGAUGCGUUACACAGGUCGUAUAUCUUGCUUGGUAAAGAAAAAAGCAUUUUUUCUACUGGAACUGAUGAACAUGGAUUAAAG